RNAcentral lists this unclassified non-coding RNA (352 nucleotides) under soil metagenome. RNAcentral's name for it is "partial contains 5.8S ribosomal RNA, internal transcribed spacer 2, and large subunit ribosomal RNA". The stretch from base 1 to 121 matches the Rfam family "5.8S ribosomal RNA", at positions 35 to 154 of the family's 154-position model. The record is from RNAcentral.
GAUGAAGAACGUAGCGAAAUGCGAUAAGUAAUGCGAAUUGCAGAAUUUCCGUGAGUCAUCGAAUCUUUGAACGCACAUUGCGCCCACUGGUAUUCCGGUGGGCAUGCCUGUUCGAGCGUCAUUAUCCUCCCUCAAAACUCCUGUUUUGGUGUUGGGCCGCGUUGGUCACCUCCGACCAACGGGCCUCAAAGACAAUGACGGCGUCCGUGGGACCCUCUUCGCAGUGAGCUUUUGUUAGCGCGCGUUGAGUUUAAAGGACCCUCCGGGCCAGCCACCUUUAUCUAUUUUACAAGGUUGACCUCGGAUCAGGUAGGAAUACCCGCUGAACUUAAGCAUAUCAAUAAGCGGAGGA